CGGGGAGUAGCGCAGUCUGGUAGCGCAUCUGCUUUGGGAGCAGAGGGUCGCUGGUUCAAAUCCAGUCUCCCCGA
This 74-nucleotide transfer RNA is filed under the name Alphaproteobacteria bacterium GM7ARS4. RNAcentral's name for it is "tRNA-Pro". It matches the Rfam family "tRNA". Rfam says of the family: Transfer RNA (tRNA) molecules are approximately 80 nucleotides in length. Their secondary structure includes four short double-helical elements and three loops (D, anti-codon, and T loops). The record is from RNAcentral. Lineage: Bacteria; Pseudomonadati; Pseudomonadota; Alphaproteobacteria.